UCUCAAAGAUUAAGCCAUGCAUGUGUCAGUGCAAGCCUUCUUUAACGGUGAAACCGCGAAUGGCUCAUUAAAUCAGUCAUAAUCCGUUGGACUUUAUGGAACCGUGUCCUUACUCGGAUAACUGUGGUAAUUCUAGAGCUAAUACAUGCCACGAGUUCCCAAAGUGCGUUCCCUGCCAUGAGUAGGACGCAAUUAUUAGAACCAAAAAUUGUACCGAAUCCUUACUUGGUGUAAAACUUGGUGAAUCUGGAUAAUCACUGCAGAGCGCUUAAUUUGUGCCGGCGCCUGACCUUUGAAGAGUCUGCCCUAUCAGCUUGAUUGUAGAUUAAAUGUCUACAAUGGCUAUAACGGGUAACGGGGAAUCAGGGUUCGAUUCCGGAGAGGGAGCCUGAGAAACGGCUACCACAUCUAAGGAAGGCAGCAGGCACGCAAAUUGCUCAAUCUUAGCUCGAGGAAGCAGUGACAAAAUAUCUUGAUGCGGGACUCUUCCGAGGCCUCGCAAUCAGGAUGCGUUUACUUUAAAGCAGUAAACUGAACGCAAUUGGAGGGCAAGUCUGGUGCCAGCAGCCGCGGUAAUUCCAGCUCCAAUAGCGUAUAUUUAAGUUGCUGCGGUUAAAAGCUCGUAGUUGGACUUUAUACUCAGGCAGCCAGUCCUCGUUCAUGAGGUUCUUACUGCGUCUGUGACUGAGUGUAUAUGAGACCGUCGAUACUUUUUAAUCUAUAAUUGUUGGUGCAAUUAAGUUAGAUAUAUUCGUUAUAAAAGUUUCGACUCUAUCACUUUGAAAAAAUUAGAGUGCUCAAAGCACUCAUUGCAUAAUUGCCUGAAUGGUAGUGCAUGGAAUGAUGGAAGAUGAUCUCUACCUCGUUAAGUUUAGAAGCAUAACUUUUUUUAUCUUUGCACCAGGUAAAGAUUCGAGGUUUGAGAUAAUGAUUAAAGGGAACUGCCGGGGGCGUUUGUAUUACGGCGCUAGAGGUGAAAUUCUUGGACCGUCGUAAGACAAACUACUGCGAAAGCAUUCGCCAAGAAUGUUUUCAUUAAUCAAGAACGAAAGUUAGAGUUUAGAAGGAGAUCAGAUACCUCCCUAUUUCUAACCGUAAACUAUGCUAACCGGUUGUCCGUCGGAAGUCAUUUCCGAUGGACGAGCGACCCCAGGGAAACCAGAGUGUCUCAGUUCCGGGGGAAGUAUGGUUGCAAAAUCGAAACUUAAAGGAAUUGACGGAAGGGCACCACCAGGAGUGGAGCCUGCGGCUUAAUUUGACUCAACACGGGAAAACUCACCAGGCCCAGAAACAUUUAGGAUUGACAGAUUGAAAGCUCUUUCAUGAUUAUGAGGAUGGUGGUGCAUGGCCG
This 1351-nucleotide ribosomal RNA is filed under the name Typhlotanais variabilis. Its description in RNAcentral is "SSU rRNA". It matches the Rfam family "Eukaryotic small subunit ribosomal RNA", at positions 35 to 1290 of the family's 1831-position model. The record is from RNAcentral. Lineage: Eukaryota; Metazoa; Arthropoda; Malacostraca; Tanaidacea; Typhlotanaidae.